Molecule: long non-coding RNA, 561 nt
Filed under: Rattus norvegicus (Norway rat)
Lineage: Eukaryota; Metazoa; Chordata; Mammalia; Rodentia; Muridae
Description: long non-coding RNA NONRATT014457
Source: RNAcentral
AAGAUGGCGGCGACGGCAGCAGUGUCUGGUGUCCUCCGCCGGUUGGGCUGGAGGCUCCUGCAGCUGCGGUGCCUGCCUGCUAAAGCUGCAGACAAAAUAUGCUUAGCAAACAUAAUGCGAUGUCAGCCAACAAAUCCAGUCUUAGGGUAUUUAUUUACCCAUGAAUGAAGUUGUGUCCACAAAAAGUUCAAGUGUAUUGAUGGCAACUUUAUAGUGGCUGGGCCCCCAAAAGCCAAACAUUCAUCAUUUUCAGUACUGUGCAAGCAGAUUACAACAGUGGCCCGCUGCCAAUCACCUCUGAUGCCACGUGCCUUCCACACCGCCGUGGGGUUCAGGUCUUCAGAAGAGCAGAGGCAGCAGCCUCCGCACUCUUCUCAGCAGCAUUCUGAGACACAGGGGCCAGAGUUUUCUCGUCCACCCCCCAGGUACACAGACCAGAGUGGAGAGGAGGAAGAGGACUAUGAGAGUGAGGAGCAGAUACAGCACCGCAUCUUGACGGCAGCCCUAGAGUUUGUGCCUGACCAUGGCUGGACUGCAGAGGCCAUUGCUGAAGGAGCCCAG